UCCGUAGGUGAACCUGCGGAAGGAUCAUUAAUGAUGCCCUCGACGUCUUUACGACUGGUAGGGUUUGGGUCUGGCCUUUUGGUCGACCUUCAUCUAACACACCGUGAACUGUGGCUUCGGCCAUUUUACACAAACUCUUAGUAAUGAAUGUAUUAUCAUAACAUAAUAAAACUUUCAACAACGGAUCUCUUGGCUCUCGCAUCGAUGAAGAACGCAGCGAAAUGCGAUAAGUAAUGUGAAUUGCAGAAUUCAGUGAAUCAUCGAAUCUUUGAACGCACCUUGCGCCUCUUGGUAUUCCGAGAGGUAUGCCUGUUUGAGUGUCAUGAAACCUCACCCCCUCUGGGUUUUUGACCUGGUCGGUGGUGGAUUGGGCGCCUGCCGUCACUGGCUCGCCUGAAAAGCAUAAGCACCUUGGAUGUAAUACGUUUCAUCCUCUCGGGUGGCUGACAACCCCACAUACUUCAUGAUCUGGCCUCAAAUCAGGUAGGGCUACCCGCUGAACUUAAGCAUAUCAAUAAGCGGAGGA
This 526-nucleotide ribosomal RNA is filed under the name Cryptococcus sp. CBS 8355. RNAcentral describes it as "eukaryotic LSU rRNA". The stretch from base 170 to 323 matches the Rfam family "5.8S ribosomal RNA". The record is from RNAcentral. Lineage: Eukaryota; Fungi; Basidiomycota; Tremellomycetes; Tremellales; Cryptococcaceae.